AUACGGAGGUGGCGAGCGUUGCUCGGAUUUACUGGGUGUAAAGAGCACGUAGGCGGUCUUGUAAGCCUUUCCUGAAAGGCUCUGGCUCAACCAGAGCAGUGGGCAGGGGACUGCAGGACUGGAGGGUGGAAGAGGCAAGCGGAAUUCCCGGUGUAAGGGUGAAAUCUGUAGAUAUCGGGAGGAACACCAGUGGCGAAGGCGGCUUGCUAGUCCACUUCUGACGCUGAGGUGCGAAAGCUAGGGGAGCAAACAGGAUUAGAAACCCCGGUAGUCC
This 274-nucleotide ribosomal RNA is filed under the name uncultured bacterium. RNAcentral describes it as "partial 16S ribosomal RNA". It matches the Rfam family "Bacterial small subunit ribosomal RNA", at positions 523 to 796 of the family's 1533-position model. The record is from RNAcentral.